Mytilus californianus (California mussel) is the source of this 3881-nucleotide long non-coding RNA. RefSeq lists it as uncharacterized. Lineage: Eukaryota; Metazoa; Mollusca; Bivalvia; Mytilida; Mytilidae. The record is from RefSeq and is a predicted model, not a curated record. The transcript is spliced from 3 exons.
GAAAGGGGUUAUGGUACCAACAGUAAAGGAAUUAGGGGCCAAAAAUAAGCAUUUUUGUAACUUCCAGACAUAACUUGUGUGUUAGUGUAUGGAUCUCUGUGACAUUGUACCACAAGGUUCCAUAUCACAAAAGGAAUGCUGGGAUUGAUUUUGGGGGUAAUUGCCUCAAAAUUUUAGGAAUUAGGGGCCAAAAACAAGCAUUUUUCUAGUUUCAUGACAAUAACUUGUGUGUAAGUGUAUGGAUCUUUCUGAAAUUGUACUACAAAGUUCCAUAUCACAAAGGGAAAGCUGGAAUUGAGUUUGGGGGUAAUUGCCGAAACGUUUAGGAAUUGGGGGCCAAAAAUAAGCAUUUUUCUAGUUUCCAGACAAUAACUUGUGUUCAAGUGUAUGGAUCUCUCUGAAAUUGUACUGCAAGGUACCAUACCACAAAGGGAAGACUGGGAUUGAUGAUGGGGGUAAUUGCCUCAAUAUUUUAGGAAUUAGGGGCCAGAAAGGGGCAAAAAACAAGUAUUUUUCUAGUUUCAGGACAAUAACUUGUGUGUAAGUGUAUGGAUCUUUCUGAAAUUGUACUACAAGGUUCCAUAUCACAAAGGGAAAGCUGGGUUUGAGUUUGGGGGUAAUUGCCCUAAACGUUUAGGAAUUUGGGGCCAAAAAACACAUUUUUCUAGUUUCCAGACAAUAACGUGUUCAAGUUUAUGGAUCUCUCUGAAAUUGUACUGCAAGGUACCAUACCACAAAGGGAAGGCUGGGAUUGAGUUUGGGGGUGAUGAAUCAUAAGGGGGUUCAAAAAAUUUGGGGGGGGAUUUUUUUUUUUUUCCUUUUUUUUUCUUUUAAAAUUUUCCAUUUUAAGUUGGUUAUUUCUGAUUUAUAUUUAAAAGCAAAUAAUAAUGAUAUGGUAGGAGAUACACACCAAACAGGAUGUGUAAAUUAUUAAAUAAUAAGUAUUGUGCAAUAGCAAGAAAUUUUCAAUUGCACAGUAUUGCACAAUAGCAAGAAAUCUUCAAUUGCACAGUAUUGUGCAAUAGCAAGAAAUCUUCAAUUGCACAGUAUUGCGCAAUAGCAAGAAAUAUCCAAUAGCACAAUAUUGCGCAAUAGCAAGAAAUUGUCAAUUGUACAGUAUUGCGCAAUAGCAAGAAAUAUUUAAUUGCACAGUAUUGUGCAAAAGAAGAUACUUCGUAUAAAUUGCUUAUUUCUUGACCAAUUUCAAUGGGGUUUUAUUCUUGAAUUCUUGGGGUUCUUUAAUAUGCUGAAUCUAACCGUGUAUUUAGUUUUUGGAUUUUGGGCCCCGUUUUUAAAUUGGUCCACAUUGAGGUCCAAAGGGUCCAAAAUUAAACUUUGUUUAAUUUCAUCAAAAAUUGAAUUAUUGGGGUUCUUUGAUAUGCCGAAUCUAACCGUGUAUUUAGAUUCUUAAUUUUUGGUUCCGUUUUCAAAUUGGUCUACAUUAAGGUCCAAAGGGUCCAAAAUUAAAUUUAGUUUGAUUUUAACAAAAAUUGAAUUCUUAGGGUUCUUUGAUAUGCUGAAUCUAAACAUAUAUUUAGAUUUUUAUACGAACGCAAAAAAAUUUUGUGGUCGUAUAUUGGUAUGACGUUGGCGUCGUCGUCGUCCGAAGACACAUUGGUUUUCGCACUCUAACUUUAGUGAAUGGAUCUUUUUGAAAUUUGACCAUAAGGUUAAAUACCACAAAAGGAAGGUUGGGAUUGAUUUUGGGGGUUAUGGUACCAACAGUUAAGGAAUUAGGGGCCAAAAAGGGGCCUAAAAUAAGCAUUUUCUAGUUUCCAGACAAUAACUUUGGAACGGUGUAUGGAUCUCUCUGAAAUUAUACUACAAGUUUCCAUACCACAAAGGGAUGGUUAGGAUUUGCUUUGGGGGGUUAUGGCUCAAACCGUUUAGGAAUUAGGGGCAAAAAAGGGGGAAAAACAAGGUUGUCCUGGUUAAUGGACAAAUACUUUAGUACAAAACAUAAUUUAAAGCAGUGUAAGGGAGAUAAAUCAAAUACAUCAUUGAAAUUAUCUCCCUUACACUGCUUUUAAAUUAUGUAUAAAGUAAUGGUUAAUGAACAAUAAAGAUAAUUUAAAACAGUGUAAGGGAGGUAAUCCAAAUACAACGUUUUGGUUACUUCCCUUACACUGCUUUUAAAUUAUGUUUAAAGAAAUACAUAUUUAUAAAGGAAGACCAGUAAAAAUAUCUGCAAAUGUUGCAUCUUUUUUUUUUACAAAAAAAUCCAUAUGAAAGAUUUGACACUAUAUUUUUAAUUCUAUUAUAAAAUAGAUUAAGUUAGCACUAUGGUAAAUUUAAAUGGGUAAUUAUGGUUGCCAACUCCAUUGGAAAUUUGAAUUGAGAUUAUGACCAUAUCUUGAGGGAAAGAAUUUUUUUGGGAAAAAAAGGGGGGGGGGGGGAUAAAAAGAAAUUGUGGGGGGUCAAUUUUUUCUCAUUUCAGAUUUCAGAAAUUAAAAAGAAUUAUUCUUCAAAUAUUAUUUUUUUUUCAAAUUUCAAAUAUUGAAAAAUUUCAAGAAGUAAUCUUUAAUUGCACAGUAUGGCGCAUUAGAUUUGUAAAAUCUUUGAUCACAUUUAUUUAUUUGUUAUGCCGAAUCUAACAGUGUAUUUAGAUUUUUAAUUUUGGGUCCAGUUUUCAAAUUGGUCUACAUUAAGGUCCAAAGGGUCCAAAAUUAAACUUUGUUUGAUUUUAGCAAAAAUUGAAUAUAUGAGGUUCUUUGAUAUGCUGAAUCUAAACAUGUAUUUAGAUUUUUGAUUUUUGGCCCAGUUUUCAAGUUGGUCCAAAUUGGGGUCCAAAAUUAAACUUUGUUUGAUUUCAACAAAAAUUGAAUAUAUGGGGUUCUUUGAUAUGCUGAAUCUAACCAUGUAUUUAGAUUUUUUAUUUGUGGACCCCGUUAUCAAAUUGGUUCAUAUUGAGGUCAAAAGGGUCCAAAAUUAAACUUUGUUUGAUUUCAUCUAAAAUUGAAUUAUUGGGGUUCUUUGAUAUUCCAAAUCUAACCGUGUAUUUAGAUUUUUAAUUUUGGGUCCUGUUUUUUAAAUUGGUCUACAUUAAGGUCCAAAGGGUCCAAAAUUAAACUUAGAUUGAUUUUAACAAAAAUUGAAUUCUUGGGGUUCUUUGAUAUGCUGAAUCUAAACAUGUGUUUAGAUUUUUGAUUAUGGGCCCAGUUUUCAAGUUGGUCCAAGUUGGGGUCCAAAAUUAAACUUUUUUUGAUUUCAACAAAAAUUGAAUAUAUGGGGUUCUUUGAUAUGCUGAAUCUAACCAUGCAUUUAGAAUUUUUAUUUGUGGGCCCCCCUAUCAAAUUUUUUCAUAUUGAGGUCAAAAGGGUCCAAAAUUAAACUUUGUUUGAUUUCAUCAAAAAUUGAAUUAUUGGGGUUCUUUGAUAUUCCAAAUCUAACCGUGUAUUUAGAUUUUUAAUUUUAAGUCCCGUUUUUUAAAUUGGUCUACAUUAAGGUCCAAAGGGUCCAAAAUUAAACUUAGUUUGAUUUUAGCAAAAAUUGAAUUCUUGGGGUUCUUUGAUAUGCUGAAUCUGAACAUGUGUUUAGAUUUUUGAUUAUGGGCCUAGUUUUCAAGUUUGUCCAAGUUGGGGUCCAAAAUUAAACUUUGUUUGAUUUUAACAAAAAUUGAAUAUAUGGGGUUCUUUGAUAUGCUGAAUCUAACCAUGUAUUUUGAUUUUGGACAUUGGACCAUAAUAGGUAAAUUAAAAAAAUUCAAGUUCUUAGACCACAUUCUUUCUGUGUCAGAAACCUAUGCUGUGUCAAAUAUUUAAUAACAAUCCAAAUUCAGAGCUGUAUCAAGCUUGAAUGUUGUGUCCAUACUUGCCCCAACUGUUCAGGGUUCGACCUCUGCGGUCGUAUCAAGCUGCGCCCCAGCGAAGCAUUUUAUUUAU